This 455-nucleotide ribosomal RNA is filed under the name uncultured Acidobacteriota bacterium. RNAcentral describes it as "bacterial SSU rRNA". It matches the Rfam family "Bacterial small subunit ribosomal RNA", at positions 8 to 452 of the family's 1533-position model. Lineage: Bacteria; Pseudomonadati; Acidobacteriota. The record is from RNAcentral.
AGAGUUGUAUCCUGGCUCAGGACGAACGCUGGCGGCGUGCCUAACACAUGCAAGUCGAACGGGGAGUUAGCAAUAACUCCUAGUGGCGAACGGGUGAGUAACGCGUAGACAACCUACCUUCUAGAUGGGGACAACACUGCGAAAGUGGUGCUAAUACCGAAUGUUGUAGUGAGUAUGCAUAUACAUACUACCAAAGGUGGCCUCUAUUCAUAAGCUACCGCUAGAAGAUGGGUCUGCGUCUGAUUAGCUAGUUGGCGGGGUAACGGCCCACCAAGGCGACGAUCAGUAGCCGGUCUGAGAGGAUGAACGGCCACACUGGGACUGAGACACGGCCCAGACUCCUACGGGAGGCAGCAGUGGGGAAUCUUCCGCGAUGGACGAAAGUCUGACGGAGCAACGCCGCGUGAGUGAAGAAGGCCCUUGGGUCGUAAAGCUCUGUUAUUAGGGAAGAACGU